GACGAACGCUGGCGGCGUGCUUAACACAUGCAAGUCGAACGGAAAGGCCCUGCUUGCCGGGUACUCGAGUGGCGAACGGGUGAGUAACACGUGGGUGAUCUGCCCUGCACUUCGGGAUAAGCCUGGGAAACUGGGUCUAAUACCGGAUAGGAGCCAUUUUUAGUGUGAUGGUUGGAAAGUUUUUUCGGUGUAGGAUGAGCUCGCGGCCUAUCAGCUUGUUGGUGGGGUAAUGGCCUACCAAGGCGGCGACGGGUAGCCGGCCUGAGAGGGUGGACGGCCACAUUGGGACUGAGAUACGGCCCAGACGCCUACGGGAGGCAGCAGUGGGGAAUAUUGCACAAUGGGCGCAAGCCGGAUGCAGCGACGCCGCGUGGGGGAUGACGGCCUUCGGGUUGUAAACGCCUUUCGCUAGGGACGAAGCUUUUUGUGACGGUACCUAGAUAAGAAGCACCGGCUAACUACGUG
RNAcentral lists this ribosomal RNA (465 nucleotides) under uncultured bacterium. Its description in RNAcentral is "partial 16S ribosomal RNA". It matches the Rfam family "Bacterial small subunit ribosomal RNA", at positions 28 to 507 of the family's 1533-position model. The record is from RNAcentral.